ACAAUAUUGAAAAAAAAUGGCAUUCCACUCAACACUUUCAAUGUUGUUCCCAAAGAUCCUCAACUUUAGUUAAUAACGAAGGAAACGCGGAGAAGCAAUCUUUCAAGCAAGACAGGCUAGAACAUGAUUAUCCAUCCAAACAUGAGGAUGCUUAUAAAGGACCAUUGGGAAAAAUAUAUGCAUUUUACAGAUUUACUCGUCCAUAUGCUGUCAUGGGCACAGGUCUGGCAGUAGCAUCUGCUUCUUGUCUUCCAGUAGAGACAAUCACUGAUUUGUCUCCAACAUUUUUCCUAGAAGUACUAAAGGCUAUGAUUCCACUAGUAUUGGCUAACAUUUAUGCAGUUGGAGUGAAUCAACUAUAUGAUAUAGAAAUUGACA
Macadamia integrifolia is the source of this 378-nucleotide long non-coding RNA. RefSeq lists it as uncharacterized. The record is from RefSeq and is a predicted model, not a curated record. The transcript is spliced from 3 exons. NCBI's taxonomy places the organism in Eukaryota, Viridiplantae, Streptophyta, Magnoliopsida, Proteales, Proteaceae.